GUGGGGAAUAUUGGGCAAUGGGGGAAACCCUGACCCAGCGACGCCGCGUGAGGGAAGAAGGCCUUAGGGUCGUAAACCUCUGUUGUGUGGGAAGAAGAGCGUGACGGUACCACACGAGGAAGUCCCGGCUAACUACGUGCCAGCAGCCGCGGUAAUACGUAGGGGACGAGCGUUGUCCGGAUUUACUGGGCGUAAAGGGCGCGUAGGCGGUCAUUUAAGUCAGCUGUGAAAUGGUGCGGCUUAACCGCAUCAUGCGGUUGAAACUGGAUGACUGGAGUGCUGGAGAGGCAAGUGGAAUUCCCAGUGUAGCGGUGAAAUGCGUAGAUAUUGGGAAGAACACCGGUGGCGAAGGCGACUUGCUGGCCAGCAACUGACGCUGAGGCGCGAAAGCCAGGGGAGCAAACGGGAUUAGAAACCCUUGUAGUCC
Molecule: ribosomal RNA, 427 nt
Filed under: uncultured bacterium
Lineage: Bacteria
Description: partial 16S ribosomal RNA
Rfam family: Bacterial small subunit ribosomal RNA
Source: RNAcentral